Trichonephila inaurata madagascariensis is the source of this 101-nucleotide non-coding RNA. The record is from the annotation of a GenBank genome assembly. NCBI's taxonomy places the organism in Eukaryota, Metazoa, Arthropoda, Arachnida, Araneae, Nephilidae.
CAUUCCAUGCUGAAUAUACCAGUUCUCCUCCGAUCACCGAAGUUAAGCAUCAUAGGGCGUGGUCAGUACUUAAGAGGGUGACCAUCUGGGAACAGCGAGUG